CCUGUGCAUCGCUCCGUCGCCUCCUUCGCCUCCGGGUGAAGGGGGAGGAAAGUCCGGGCAUUGCAGGGCGCCGUGCUUCCUAACGGGAAGGGGUGCCGUUGGGAACGACGGCAUCACGGAAAGUGCCACAGAAAGGGAGACCGCCGAUCGUCGCAGCCAAGGGAAGGCCCGCCUUCGCCAAGGCUUCGGCGAGGCAAGGGUGAAAAGGUGGAGUAAGUGCCCACCAGUGCCGGUGGUGACAUCGGCAGCUUGGUAAACCCCACGGAAUGAAAGACCAAAUAGGCCGGGGAUGCGCCGCAAGGCGUGAGAGGACGGCCCGUCCGAUCCCGGCGGGUAGGUCGAUCGAGGUCCGUCGUGAGGCGGAUCCCAGAUAGAUGACGGAGGUCCGCUGCAAGGCGGAUACAGGACCCGGCUUACAGAUGCACAGGCCUU
RNAcentral lists this RNase P RNA (432 nucleotides) under Flavobacteriales bacterium. Its description in RNAcentral is "RNase P RNA component class A". It matches the Rfam family "Bacterial RNase P class A". Rfam says of the family: Ribonuclease P (RNase P) is a ubiquitous endoribonuclease, found in archaea, bacteria and eukarya as well as chloroplasts and mitochondria. Lineage: Bacteria; Pseudomonadati; Bacteroidota; Flavobacteriia; Flavobacteriales. The record is from RNAcentral.